CAGUUGGCCGGGGGACCAAAGGAAGGAGGCCCGGCUUACACGGGGGGCAGCUGAACUGGGGGGCUGGCGAAGCGUUUUAACAGGAGAGAGCUGGAGGAGUAAGACUUGGUGUCUGUGCCGAGGCGUUUUCACUUAAGCCGUGGACACCGAGGAGCCAGUGCAGGGCUGAAGUAGGGGGAUGUCAACAUCUCCGAAGGGACGGAACGGGGAAGCCGCCAGUUGGGGGGACGCGGAGGGGAGCGCGAGGCGUGGCUGGGGCAGUGGCCGGAUCACAAGGACCUUACUGAGGCAGGGUCCAGAUCAGUGACUGCUGGUACUUGUGGGGUGAGGGAGGGAAAAAAGUCAAGAGUGACGCUCAGGUUUUUAUUGAGCUCUGUCUCCCUGAUUUUAUAAAGACUUGCCACCCAAAUGCUGACUCCUUCCCGGCAGGUUUCAGAACACGGCCUCAGCUCACUUGCCCCAUCUUGCCAGCUCAGGCUUCCAAACUGGUACACAUUUCUCCUUUUUUUGUUUUUCGGCUGGCAUCUCAGUUCUUUUUUCUUAACUCCCAUUCUGAAAUUAUUGUAGCAAUUUGGGCACUUCAAGGAAUGGAAGCCCAGUGUCUAUCAGAUGCCCCGUACACAAAUAAUCAAGUAAAUGAGGUUACUCACCCCGGCUGCCCUACAGGGUGGUGUUCGUGGCAGAGUGGCGGGCAUGAAAUGUGACUCGUGCAAUUCCAGAGCGGCUUAUGCCUUCCGUGUUUGGUAGCGGGAGGAUAAAGUACAGGAUUCUGAAGAAUUUUCGGUGAAAGGUAGCCUGGUAUCCGUCUCCCACAUGCGGUGACCGCGGUGGCCACCGCGCCUGGCCACACGGCGCCUGGGCGGACGGCAGUGGAACUGGUCGCGUGCUCAUUCCCUUUAGCCCUUGCCCCCCACCCCGACCCGUGAGAUGGGUGGGGCGUGGGGUGUCCCCAGGAUCCCGCGUGCCCGGGCUCCCCUCCGGCUCAGGCUAAUCCCGUGCCCAAGCCCGAGCCGCCUCGCAGGGCAGGCGCUGCAUUCAUCACCAUGUGGCACGGUCACGUGGUCUCCUGGCUGCCUCCCUGUAGCUGCCGCUCGUCAGCAGCUGGCGGAGCUGGAGGCUGCAGGCCCCUGUCUGCAGAAAGCCUUUGACUUCAGAAUAUUGGGGGGGGGGGGGGCAAACCCCGCCUCUUUUUUCUGCACUUUGCACCAUCUCACUGACUAAAUGGUUGUCCUCCGAACCAAAAAGGCUAGCCGACAGUCCAAGGCAAUUGUCUCCGACUAGGUCAUGUUUGCAUUUGAAGAAUUCAGGUAUGUUCUGGGUUCUCUACAUCCGUCUGCCAGUGGGUUUUUGUUCUCGCUGGGUUUUUGCUGUGUAAUGACAGCUUAGGCUCUCGCUGGUUCUCACACAAAAAGGCUGCUUUUCUGUGGUGGGCUUUGGCAGGGUCCUGGGGGCCGGAGGUGCAGAGGCGGUGCGGGUCGGUGUUGACUGCAAGCUCGGAUGCAGCGUGGAUAAUUGGUUUGAUCGCGUGUAAAGGUGCCGAGGACCCCACCUUGUGCCUCCCUGGCGCUGUGCUGUUGCUGGUGUGGAGUUCGGAAUGCGGAAUGGGAACUGUGCAUCCAGAAGAGUCUCUUGCUAUCUUUUGUGUUUCUUCCUUUGUCGAACUCAUGGAGCCUACUGCUCUUUUUAAAGAGGCUGCUUGUGGCGGUGCAGGUGAAAAAUCCUGCAAGCCUGUCUGCUGAGCGGAGAUGCGGUCUUGGCUGUGAUUUCCUCAUUGUUGCUGGUGAUCUCGUGGCUGGGCAGUUUUCUGGGAAGUGCCCUCGUUGUGUUUUGUUCACAGGCUCCUUCUUUGCUCUGGCAAGCUUUUCAGCUGCUGUAAUUAUCAGUGCUCAAACCAGUCUUUUGUGACUCUUAUUCCUUCUCUUUCCUCCAUCUCUUCUCCGGGAAUCUGCCUCUGGGCGUGAAUGUGAGAAGGGAUGCUCCUACAGAGACGGUUUCUAAGAAAUGGAAAUCGAGGAGGUGGGACGGUUCCCGCUGCUGGUUCUCUCUCCGCACGUCUCCAUCUCUCUGGAGCGCGAGGAGGAGAGUGUGUGUGUUCUAACCGCUGACAGCUUCUCCUUUCUCGGAUGGAACCCCGUGUGUUUUAGGACAGGGCAUGACCCCCAUGCUGAUAGGCAAGGAAGCGGUUGUGGGCGACCCGGCACAGGCCCUUUUCGUUGCCUCUAAAUGUUGCCGCAAAUACACAUUAAACCGAUCAUAGAAUUACCACCGCUCGUUAUUUCCGAGAGGAAACUAGAGACCUUUUAGUCAGAAUCAGCGGGGUCGAUGAGAACCUCACCAGUUUCCACAAGGAAAAGCAGGGCUACACAGAGGUGGUCGCACCCUUUCUAUAAACUUGGGGUUUGGGAUCCAGGAAGUUAUCCUUUGUUUAAGAGCCUGCCUCUGCGUUAUUUCUAACGGACGGGGUUUGUGAAAAGGACAUUCUUCCCAUGUGGCAACAUGCUCUGGUGACCUGGGGUGACACAGUGACCAGAACUUUACUCUUCUAUGAUGGCUCCAUUUGAUAACUAACAAGAAUGUAUUUAACGCCUGGCGUGUAACAGUAGGUAGAUGGGUCCUUAGGGAGUGAGUCGGGAGUCCUGGGUUCUAAUCUCAGUUUCAAAAUGAGCUUUUCUGAUCCUUGGGAGAGUUAGGAAGCGCUUUGUAAAGCCAAGGCCAGGGUAUAAGUAGGCGAGGAAUCAGGAGCCAGAAGCAGCUUUGCAGGUACGGGCAGGUGGACCAGAGCGGGGCCCGUUCUGGGGCCAGAGGUCAACUGUGGCAGUCAGUGCAGCGGCCCUCCUCCGGGAGGGCUGGAAGCAGGGGACCGGCCCGGGUCUCGGGCGAGAGUCCGGGAGCUCAGCUUGUAAUCCUGGUUCUGCCCUGAACCACCUUUGUGAACGGGGCCAGUCUCUUGAUCUUUCUGGGGUUUUUUGUGGGGUUUUUUUGGCUUUUUAGGGCCUCACCCGCUGCCUACGGAGGUUCCCAGGCUAGGGGUCUAAUGGGAGCUACAGCUGCCGGCCUACACCACAGCCGUGGCAAUGCCAGAUCCGAGCUGCGUCUGCGAUCUACACUACAGCUCACGGCAACGCCAGAUCCUCAACCCACUGAGCAAGGCCAGGGAUCAAAGCCACAACCUCUUGGUUCCUAGUCAGAUUCGUUUCCACUGUGCCACAACGGGACCUCCUCUUGAUCUUUCUUAGCCUCGAUUUUCUCAGCUGAAAAAAGGGGAUAGUUCUUGCCAAGGAAAUCUGCAGUGCUGUCGGAAUUAAAUGAAAUAACAUCAACUUACUUUAUAAAUCAUAGCUCUCUUCCUAUAGGAACAUGAAGGGGUGAGAGGACCCUGGGGGCCCUCGGGUUCUCUGCGGACACACCCCUCCACACCCACGCCCAAGCCCUGAGUGCAGAGGGAGCCAGCAGACACCCCUGCCUGACCCUGCUGGUCCCCGAGUCCCCUGAGAGCUUUGGUCUGUCCCGUCUGGUUUCUUUCCUGAGUGUCUGAAGCUGCCUGCCACACUGUAAGGCCCUCGUUGGCAGUUUACUUUCGUGAGGAUUUAACAAGCAGGAAGAAGCACGCAGGCUCCCUGGCUGGCUGGGUGCAGGCCUGGUGUGGGGCCGCGGAGCCCGCCGAGUGCCGGGUCCGAGGAGCGUGUCAAAAAGCUGCAGCUGACCUCCUGAGAAAUUUGCCAAGUGUCCCCGGGACACCCCAGCUGCUGGGUGCCGGGCAGCCCCGUGGCCUUUCACAAGGAAUCUCUGCAGAUGACCUCACUCGAGGGUGGGCUGGCGGUUGUAACAAGGUGCUGGGGCCUGGGCCCAGCCAGAGUCGCAGGGGUGCCGGAGCUUGAGGCGCUGGGCCAGCCUUUCCCAGCUGGCGGGAGCGCUGGUGCCUGCCUGGACUGCACGACCGGGCUGUCCCGACACCAGCAGGCUGUUGGAGCUCUGGUUCCGGGGCCAGACACACUUACUGGUGUUUCUGCUUUAAAACAAAACCCAAAACCCUUCCUCAGCAAGAGGUAUGCUGCGCUGAGAGUUGAAGUCAGCAUUCACCUGUUUUGCAGAGACCGUCUCCGAGGGAGGCAGCUCGGGGAGCAGCGCCUGGAUUAUCUUCCGCCUCUAGACCCAGAGCGGUAACUGCCUUCCCUCACCAGCCCCGGAAUAAAGACCCUUUAUUAUACACCUUGUUAAAACGGCUAUUUAUUUUUUUAAUUACUCAGUGAAUUUUAUUACAUUUGUAGGUAUACAACGACCAUCACAACCCAAUUUUAUAGCAUUUCCAUCCCAAACCCCAGCCCAUCCCCCCACCCCCCAACCUGUCUCCUUUGGAAACCAUACGUUUUUCAAAGUCUGUGAGUCAGUAUCUGUUCUGCAAAGAGGUUCAUUGUAUCCCUUUAUUAGAUUCCACAGGUAAGUGACAGCAUUUGAUGCUGGUGUCUCAUUGCCUGACUUCACUCAGCAGGAUCAUUUCUAGGUCCAUCCAUGUGGCUGCAAAUGCUGUGUGUCUUUCUUUUGAAUGGCUGCGUAAUAUUCCACUGUGUGUGUGGACCACAUCUUCUGGAUCCCCUCCUCUGUCGAUGGGCAUUUAGGUUGUUUCCAUGUCUUGGCUGUUGUAUAUAGUGCUGCAGUGAACAUCAGAGUCCAUGUGUCUUUGUGAGUCGUGGGUUUCUCUGGAUAGAUGCCCAGGGGUGGGAUUGCUGGAUCAAAUGGUAGUUCUGUUUUUAGUUUUCUGAGGCAUCUCCAUACUGUUUUCCACAGUGGUUGCACCAGUUUACAUUCCCACCAACAGUGUACUAGGGUUCCUUUCUCUCCACGCCCUCCCUAACACUUACUGUUUGUAGGCUUUUUGAUGACAGCCGUUCUGGCUGGUGUAAUACGGUACCUCAUAGUGGUUUUGGUUUGCAUUUCUCUAAUAAUGAGUGAUGUUGAACAUCUUUUCAUGUGUUUUUUGACCAUCUGUAUGUCUUUGGAGAACUGUCUGUUUAGAUCUUCUGCUCAUUUUUUGAUGGGGUGGUUUGUUUGGUAUUGAGCUGCAGAAGGUGUUUAUAAAUUUUGGAGAUUAAUCCCUUGGCAGUCAAUUCAUUUGCAAAGAUUUUUCUCCCAUUCUGUGGAUUGUCUUUUCGUUUUGUUUAGGAUUUCCUUUACUUUGCAGAAACUUUUUAAGUUUAAUUAGGUCCCAUUUGUUAAUUUUUGUUUUUAUUGUCAUUACUCUAGGAGGUGGAUCUGAGAAGGAUAUUGCCAUGGUUUAUGUCAGAGGGUGUUUGGCCUAUAUUUUCCUCUAAGAAUUUUAUAGUAUCUGGUCUUAUAUCUAGAUCUUUAAUCCAUUUGGAGUUUAUUUUUGUGUAUGGUUAGGGAGUGUUCUAAUUUCAUUCUUUUCCAUGUGGCUGUCCAGUUUUCCCAGCACCACUUAUUGAAGGGGCUGUCUUUUCUCCAUUGUAUAUUCUUGCCUCCUUUGUCAGAUUAGUUAACUGUAGCUGCGUGGGUUUAAUUCUGGGCUUUCUAUCCUGCUCCACUGAGCUGUAUUUCUGUCUUUGUGCCAGUACCAUACGGUUUUGAUGACUAUAGCUUUGUAGUAUGGUCUGAACUCAGGGAGCCUGAUUCCUGCGUCUCCAUUUUUCUUUCUCGAGAUGGACUUUGGCUAUUCUGGGGCUUUUGUACCUCCAACCAAACUUUAAAAUAUUUUGUUGAAGUUCUGUGGAAAAUGUUUUUGGUAAUUUGAUAGGGAUUGCAUUGAAUUGGUAGAUUGCCUUGGGUAAUAUAGUCAUUUUGAUAAUAUUGAUUCUUCCAGUCCAAGAGCAUGGUAUGUCUUUCCUUCUGUGUCAUCUUUGAUUUCUUUCAUCAGCAUCUUAUAAUUUUCAGAGAACAGGUCUUUUGUCUCUUUAAGUAGGUAUUUUUCCUAAGUAUCUCAUUCUUUUUGAUGUGAUGGUAAAUGGGAUUGUUUCCCUAAUUUCUCUUUCUGAUCUUUCAUUGCUAGUAUAUAGAAAUGCAGUCAAUUCCUGUGUAUUAAUUUUGUAUCCUGUGACUUUGCCAGAUCCAUUGAUGAGGACUCUUAAGUGUGAUGUUUGGCUUCCUGAUGCCUCAGGUGGGAAUAGAACCCAGUCAGAAGCUGUCAUCCCUCAGAAUUCCUGGUACUUAUUCUGGUUUCUUUCCAGAAGGAAGGUGGUAAACCCACUCCAAGAUUUUAAAUCUGCAGUUGGAAUGUAUCUGUCACAUGAAAAUGGGAAGUUGCUGCUUUGGGUCUGUUUUGUUUUGUCUUUAAAUAAACCCUUAUUGUGGAAGGAUUGGAUUCAGACUCAGGCUGGCUCUUUAUUAAUUUGAAUUUAUGGAAUGUUGAAAUGAGUUAAAACGAAUGGCAUCGGGGAAGACCUGAAGUUUGCAAACUGGGAGAGCCCACUUGUGUGUCCAGAGCCCCUGCCAGCUUAGCCCCCUCUCACUUCCCAGGCUGCUGCAACUCCUUGAAGAAACAAAAUAUUUAGGCACAGUGACUUUCACAACGUGGGGGGAAAUAAAUCUCAGAUGAAUAGGAGAUGGAAACUGGGCUGGGCAGGGAAGAGGGUACAGAAACUAGACCAUCGAAUACCUACUAGGUACAGACCCUGCUAGUUGCUUUGCCCCUGGGAACUUUAACCCCUGUGUAGUUUUAUAAAUGAAAACAGGUUUAGAGACAGGGGCAACCCCAAAACCUAUACCUCUGACUCUCACCCUAAUGUUUGUUAAGCGAAUGAAGGAAAUGAGAACAGAGGCUCAGAGAGGUUAGGUGAUUUGCCUGAAGUCACCCAGCAGUUAAGGGGAUCAGGUCAGUUUCACGUCAGUCCUUCGUUCUCAGGUACUCUGUGCCUAGAGUUCCAUCCUGGGAAUUGACCUUGUGUCUUCCACCCAGCUUGGCCUUUUUGAGUCUCUCCUCUGGGCCCAGAGCAGGCUGUAGCUCCAGCACUUGGCUUACCUCCCUGACUGCGAGAGAAACAGGGAAGAGAAAAGAAGCAGAGGCACACCCCCGAGGGCAGAGUAGACUGUGCCCCCACCCCAGCUCUCACAUCCUGUCUCCCUGCAGUACAUACCGGCAUGUAAUUGUGCAACUGCUGGAGUGGGAGCUCUUUGAGGUCAGGAAGCCUGUCUUUGUAACCUCUGUCACCACCAAUUAACAUGGUGUUGGCACUAGGAGGGGUCAGUACACGUCUAGCGGUUAAAAGUCCACAGUACUUAUGUUGAAGGCAUUAGAACGUCUUUAAUUGAAUGUCGCACUCCCUAAUGGUGGGGGCUCAGGUCAUGCUGUCUUGGUUCCCCAGGGCCUAUUAGAAUGCACAGCCAUGUGGGACUUUGAUGGGCAGUGGGAGAACCUGGUUGGAGAAGGUGGCCAGAGGGUGGAGAGUUGAGGGCCAGGAAGAUGGAGCAGGAGAGGGAAGGACAGACGCAUUUCACUGACUUGACAGUUUCGCCUGAUGUUUGUCUGACUAGCCACAAGCAGAAAGUUAUUUUGGGAAACAAAUAAUUUAGCUGUAGGAUAGCCACAGAAAUAUACUUCAAAAUACCAGUCUAGGGAGGUCUCCUGUGGCCGCAGCAGGUUAAGGAUCCCAUGUUGUUGCUGCUGUGGCGCAGGUUUGAUCCCUGGCGUGGGAAUGUCCACGUGCCUCAGGCACGACUGAAAAAACAAACAAAAAAUACCAGUCUAUCCUGCAUUAUUAAAUAGGUGUUACGAUUGUUAAUUUUCGUUCAAAGA
This 7744-nucleotide long non-coding RNA is filed under the name Sus scrofa (pig). RNAcentral describes it as "lncRNA (ENSSSCG00015036044.1)". Lineage: Eukaryota; Metazoa; Chordata; Mammalia; Artiodactyla; Suidae. The record is from RNAcentral.